This 253-nucleotide ribosomal RNA is filed under the name uncultured bacterium. Its description in RNAcentral is "partial 16S ribosomal RNA". It matches the Rfam family "Bacterial small subunit ribosomal RNA", at positions 524 to 776 of the family's 1533-position model. The record is from RNAcentral.
UACAGAGGGUGCGAGCGUUGUCCGGAAUCACUGGGCGUAAAGGGCUCGUAGGCGGCCAACUAAGUCAGACGUGAAAUCCCUCGGCUUAACCGGGGAACUGCGUCUGAUACUGGAUGGCUUGAAUCCGGGAGAGGGAUGCGGAAUUCCAGGUGUAGCGGUGAAAUGCGUAGAUAUCUGGAGGAACACCGGUGGCGAAGGCGGCAUCCUGGACCGGCAUUGACGCUGAGGAGCGAAAGCCAGGGGAGCAAACGGG